This is a non-coding RNA of Doryrhamphus excisus (bluestripe pipefish), 738 nucleotides long. NCBI's taxonomy places the organism in Eukaryota, Metazoa, Chordata, Actinopteri, Syngnathiformes, Syngnathidae. The record is from RefSeq and is a predicted model, not a curated record.
GUGACAGGAAGUGAGCAGUCCGGGCGGAGCUGGAGACGGCUGGAGGAUUGUCGGAGGACGGUGGAAGCUGAGGAGAAGGCGGCGAUGCCCAGGGGCCAGAAGCAGCAGAGCAUGGAGAAGAAAGCGAGGCCCAGGUAGUCCUGAGGGAUCAUCAGAGGGAAGUUGCUGUCGCUGUCGCUAUCGCUAAAGUCUUCAAUGGACGAGUCCUGAGGGUCAAGGAGGACGCAGGCGGGAGAUCAGACAUGAACUGGUCAGGAAUCUACUGAAAACAAGAGCAGUUUAAGGGCCUGCUGCAAAAACACGAAGCAAACACUUUCCGAGUGCUGUUUUUAGGAGCGUAUUGCAAAACAACUAGUCAAACAUCCUCUAUGACAGAAGCUUUUUGCUGGUUUUCACAAUUUACCACAACAGCAGAAACAGCUUAUAUAUACAGUAACAAUAGUGCUGUUUUUGGGAAUCCAAUGCAAAAACUGAUCUUACUGUACAUAGUUCUUAUAUAUCAUAGGAGUGCUCUGCUGUGUUUAGAAAUCCCCUGUAAAAUAUUGGUCAAAGAUCAUCUAUAUGACCCGAGUGCUGUGCUGUUUUUGGUAAUUGGCUGCAAAAAUGCUAGUCAAAGAUUCUCUAUAUGACCAGACCGCUGUGCUGUUUUUGGUAAUUGGCUGCAAAAAGGCUAGUCAAAGAUCCUCUCUGUGACCAAUGUGCUGUGCUGUUUUUGGUAAUUGGCUGCAAAAAUGCUAG